UGGGGAAUUUUGGACAAUGGGCGAAAGCCUGAUCCAGCAAUGCCGCGUGCAGGAAGAAGGCCUUCGGGUUGUAAACUGCUUUUGUACGGAACGAAAAGGCUCUUUCUAAUAAAGAGGGCUCAUGACGGUACCGUAAGAAUAAGCACCGGCUAACUACGUGCCAGCAGCCGCGGUAAUACGUAGGGUGCGAGCGUUAAUCGGAAUUACUGGGCGUAAAGCGUGCGCAGGCGGUUCUAUAAGACAGAUGUGAAAUCCCCGGGCUCAACCUGGGAAUGGCAUUUGUGACUGUAGAGCUAGAGUACGGUAGAGGGGGAUGGAAUUCCGCGUGUAGCAGUGAAAUGCGUAGAUAUGCGGAGGAACACCGAUGGCGAAGGCAAUCCCCUGGACCUGUACUGACGCUCAUGCACGAAAGCGUGGGGAGCAAACAGGAUUAGAUACCCCCGUAGUCCCUGAGCGGGCUGGCAAGGCGCAU
RNAcentral lists this ribosomal RNA (472 nucleotides) under uncultured bacterium. Its description in RNAcentral is "bacterial SSU rRNA". It matches the Rfam family "Bacterial small subunit ribosomal RNA", at positions 355 to 825 of the family's 1533-position model. The record is from RNAcentral.